UGCAAGUCGAACGAGAAUCUGCUGAAGGAGGAUUCGUCCAACGGAUGUAGAGGAAAGUGGCGGACGGGUGAGUAACGCGUGAGGAACCUGCCUUGAAGAGGGGGACAACAGUUGGAAACGACUGCUAAUACCGCAUGAAGCAUAGGGGUCGCAUGAUCCUUAUGCCAAAGAUUUAUCGCUUCAAGAUGGCCUCGCGUCUGAUUAGCUGGUUGGCGGGGUAACGGCCCACCAAGGCGACGAUCAGUAGCCGGACUGAGAGGUUGAACGGCCACAUUGGGACUGAGAUACGGCCCAGACUCCUACGGGAGGCAGCAGUGGGGAAUAUUGGGCAAUGGGCGCAAGCCUGACCCAGCAACGCCGCGUGAAGGAAGAAGGCUUUCGGGUUGUAAACUUCUUUUAAGAGGGAAGAGCAGAAGACGGUACCUCUAGAAUAAGCCACGGCUAACUACGUGCCAGCAGCCGCGGUAAUACGUAGGUGGCAAGCGUUGUCCGGAUUUACUGGGUGUAAAGGGCGUGCAGCCGGGUCUGCAAGUCAGAUGUGAAAUCCAUGGGCUCAACCCAUGAACUGCAUUUGAAACUGUAGAUCUUGAGUGUCGGAGGGGCAAUCGGAAUUCCUAGUGUAGCGGUGAAAUGCGUAGAUAUUAGGAGGAACACCAGUGGCGAAGGCGGAUUGCUGGACGAUAACUGACGGUGAGGCGCGAAAGUGUGGGGAGCAAACAGGAUUAGAUACCCUGGUAGUCCACACUGUAAACGAUGAAUACUAGGUGUGCGGGGACUGACCCCCUGCGUGCCGCAGUAAACACAAUAAGUAUUCCACCUGGGGAGUACGAUCGCAGGGUUGAAACUCAAAGGAAUUGACGGGG
This 863-nucleotide ribosomal RNA is filed under the name uncultured bacterium. RNAcentral's name for it is "bacterial SSU rRNA". It matches the Rfam family "Bacterial small subunit ribosomal RNA", at positions 56 to 918 of the family's 1533-position model. The record is from RNAcentral.